GGUUUUAUAGUCAAAAAUGACAUUAGAUUGCAAAUCUAAGGGUAAAGUUUCUUUUAAAGCCU
This 62-nucleotide transfer RNA is filed under the name Cerambycidae sp. 2 KM-2017. Its description in RNAcentral is "tRNA-Cys". It matches the Rfam family "tRNA". From Rfam's summary of the family: Transfer RNA (tRNA) molecules are approximately 80 nucleotides in length. Their secondary structure includes four short double-helical elements and three loops (D, anti-codon, and T loops). RNAcentral also lists the same sequence under 1 other name. The record is from RNAcentral. Lineage: Eukaryota; Metazoa; Arthropoda; Insecta; Coleoptera; Cerambycidae.